Oryctolagus cuniculus (rabbit) is the source of this 1105-nucleotide non-coding RNA. The record is from RefSeq and is a predicted model, not a curated record. Lineage: Eukaryota; Metazoa; Chordata; Mammalia; Lagomorpha; Leporidae.
CCUUUGAAAGUGGAUUAAAAUCUGGGACAGGGUGUGUCUGGCCCUUUCCCUCCUUUCUCUUCACUCUGGCCUCUUGCAAGUAAGGGGCUGGCUGCAGCCUUGAGCCUCCUGGGCGCAUGGCCUUGGGCCACUUGCCCCAUGCUUCCUGUCCUAGAUGCUCUUCCACGUGGCUGGUUCCUGGUAUUUGGAAAAGAAAAAUAUUAAAUAACAACUUUAAACAGCAAGAAGAAUGAAACAAUUAUGUAGGACAAAAACAGAACAAAAAAGAAACAAGAAUUGAGAAGGAAGGCAAGUUCCAGAAUUCAGAAAACGGAAAGCAGUUUCAGUGAACUGAAGUCAAGAGGAUGCUGCCACGUUCUUUUUGGGAGCUCCAAAGCAGACUCUACCUCUUUGCCAUUUUCUUUUUCUAGUGGCCAUCUAUAUUCUGUUGCUAGUGAUCCUUCCUCCAUCUAAAAAGGCCAUGACCCAUGGCUUAUCCCAUGUCAACCUUUCCUCCAACUCUCUGAAUCCCCUCUAUUUCUUAAGGACCCUUGUGAUUGUAUCAAGCCAUGGGAACAGCCAAAGGAUCAACUCACCUAAAAAUCCUUAUCCACUUGUACAAAGUUCCUUUUGCAACAUAAGGUUAACAUUCCCAGAUUUUAGACACUAGCAAUGGAUAUGCUGGAGAGCAAGAGUACUUUUCAGUCAAACACCUCCCUCAAGCUACCAACUACUCAUUCAUAUGCUUCUGUUACUGACAGUACCACGUUCUAAUUCACUAAGGAGACUAAGCUUCAGAAAAGUUUCUCUGUUUCCCUCAUCGUCACAAAAUUGUUGCUUCACUCUACCUCACCUCUUUACCCAUCCUUGACAACUUUCAAAUAGCUCAAGGGAACAGUGAUCCUCCUCUUUUCCAGGUUCCUUUCUACCUCUGCCUUUGAAUUUAGUCCCUCUAAUCUUUAAGGAUAAAUAACUUGCAAUAGAACUCUACCUUUCUUGUUUGUGAAUAUGACUGAAAACAGAAAUAUUCAAGUAAAGACAUAAAAAAAAAUCUUUGAAAUUCACCAUAAGGUUUCAUGCAGAAAAUUCUACUAUUAACAUUCUAUUAACCCCACGGUAGCCUACA